AAUCAACGCUGGCGGCGUGCCUAAUACAUGCAAGUCGAACGCGAAAGUGGAGCAAUCCAUGAGUAGAGUGGCAAACGGGUGAGUAACGCGUGGGUGACCUGCCUUCGAGUGGGGGAUAACGUUCCGAAAGGGACGCUAAUACCGCAUGACAUCCUGCCUUUUAAGAGGUGGAGAGCAAAGCCGGGGAUCGCAAGACCUGGCGCUUGAAGAGGGGCCCGCGUCCGAUUAGCUAGUUGGUGGGGUAACGGCUCACCAAGGCGACGAUCGGUAACCGGCCUGAGAGGACGGCCAGCCACACUGGGACUGAGACACGGCCCAGACUUCUACGGGAGGCAGCAGUGGGGAAUAUUGGACAAUGGGGGAAACCCUGAUCCAGCGACGCCGCGUGUGUGAAGAAGGCCUGCGGGUUGUAAAGCACUUUCGGUGGGAACG
This 432-nucleotide ribosomal RNA is filed under the name uncultured bacterium. RNAcentral's name for it is "bacterial SSU rRNA". It matches the Rfam family "Bacterial small subunit ribosomal RNA", at positions 29 to 447 of the family's 1533-position model. The record is from RNAcentral.